GACAGGCAGAAAUGACCAGCCUUCACACUGAGGCCCCCACCCCACCCCAGGGACAGCUCCCUGUGGACGGAGUGACAAGUACUGGAUCCAAAGGGGAAGGGAUGACAGGGUCUGUGUUGGAGGACCAGACUUUCACACACACGCAGCCGGCAGGCCAUCAUCCAGAACAAACAGCAGGAGCAGCAGGUGGACGGCUGAACCAAUGGCAGUCUACAAUAGGCUGCAGGCAACACAGGUUUCUAAAUGAGCAAAAACAGGAAGGGUGCUCCUGCCAUCCACCCAGGCUCAUGAAGUUCGCUUUUUCCCAAAGGUAGUCAUGCUAGGGAUAGACAGGGUUUACAAAAUCCCUUCAUCUUCAGAGGAAACCAGUUCCAGGGACUCCAGGGAGUUCUGCAUAAAGAAAUGGUCCAGAGGCCAUCAUGCUUCCCAGUUUUAACCUUCCAAAUGCAACUGGGAAAAGGCAGACAUAGAAGGACUCAGGGCGCCCCAGGGUUCAGGGCAGGGUUGGAGGCAUUGAAAAGGAAAGCAGUGGAGUGGUGGUGGCCACAGUGCAUCCCGGGCGUUAAGAGAGAAGGGAGAGUUCCUUUCUCCAAACAUUAACUAACUUUCCAAGCCUCUUUCCUCCCUUUCUCCUGACCAAAACAGGAUGGGGAGACAGACCAAUGACAAUAAAAAAAAAUUAUCAAAA
This 688-nucleotide long non-coding RNA is filed under the name Rattus norvegicus (Norway rat). Its description in RNAcentral is "long non-coding RNA NONRATT003939". Lineage: Eukaryota; Metazoa; Chordata; Mammalia; Rodentia; Muridae. The record is from RNAcentral.